Molecule: long non-coding RNA, 3116 nt
Filed under: Lathyrus oleraceus (garden pea)
Lineage: Eukaryota; Viridiplantae; Streptophyta; Magnoliopsida; Fabales; Fabaceae
Description: Pisum sativum (pea) long non-coding RNA (PSAT_LNC040878)
Source: RNAcentral
AAGAGGGAAAAAACAAACCCUACAUAACACGUAACUAUUAAAAAACAUAGAAAAAUAGAUAACAUAAAUAGAAAAAUCAACCUAGAAAUAACUUAACCAGUACUAGUUGUAUUUUACGAGUUAUUCAUUGAAAUCGUAGACAAAUUGUUUGAAAAUGUUUUAAAUAUGACGUAUGGGUUAUUCAUAUUUGAUUUUUAUAUAUAUACAAGAUAAAGACACACUAAAUAGAAUAAAGAGGGAAAAAAAAACCCUACAUAACACAUAACUAUUAAAAACCACAGAAAAAUAGAUAACAUAAAUAGAAAAAUCAACCUAGAAAUAACUUAACCAGUACUAGUUGUAAUUUACGAGUUAUUCAUUUAAAUCGUAGACAAAUUGUUUGAAAAUGUUUUAAUAUGACGUAUGGGUUAUUCAUAUUUGAUUCUUAUAUAUAUGUUUAUAUAUAUACAAGAUAACGUCACACUAAAUAGAAUAAAGACGGAAAAAACAAACCCUACAUAACACGUAACUAUUAAAAAACAUAGAAAAAUAGAUAACAUAAAUAGACAAAUCAACCUAGAAAUAACUUAACUACUUCUAGUUGUAUUUUACGAGUUAUUCAUUGAAAUCGUAGACAAAUUGUUUAAAAAUGUUUUAAAUAUGACGUAUGGGUUAUUCAUAUUUGAUUCUUAUAUAUAUGUUUAUAUAUAUACAAGAUAACGACACACUAAAUAGAAUAAAGAGGGAAAAAACAAACCCUACAUAACACAUAACUAUUAAAAAACACAGAAAAAGAGAUACCAUAAAUAGAAAAAUCAUCCUAAAAAUAACUUAACUAGUUAUAGUUGUAUUUUACGAGUUAUUCAUUGAAAUCGUACACAAAUUGUUUAAAAAUGUUUUAAAUAUGAUCUAUUGGUUAUUCAUAUUUCAUUCUUAUAUAUACGUUUAUAUAUAUAUACAAGAUAACGACACACUAAAUAGAAUAAAGAGGGAAAAAACAAACCCUACAUGACACGUAACUAUUAAAAAACACAGAAAAAUAGAUAACAUAAAUAGAUAAAUCAACCUAGAAAUAACUUAACUACUUCUAGUUGUAUUUUACGAGUUAUUCAUUGAAAUCGUAGACAAAUUAUUUGAAAAUGUUUUAAAUAUGACGUAUGGGUUAUUCAUAUUUGAUUCUUAUAUAUAUUUUUAUAUAUAUACAAGAUAACGACACACUAAAUAGAAUAAAGAGGGAAAAAACAAACCCUACAUAACAUGUAACUAUUAAAAAACAUAGAAAAAUAGAUAACAUAAAUAGAAAAAUCAACCUAGAAAUAACUUAACCAGUUCUAGUUGUAUUUUACGAGUUAUUCAUUGAAAUCGUAGACAAAUUGUUUGAAAAUGUUUUAAAUAUGACGUAUGGGUUAUUCAUAUUUGAUUCUUAUAUAUAUGUUUAUAUAUAUACAAGAUAACGACACACUAAAUAGAAUAAAGAGGGAAAAAACAAACCCUACAUAACACGUAACUAUUAAAAAACAUAGAAAAAUAGAUAACAUAAAUAGAAAAAUCAACCUAGAAAUAACUUAACCAGUUCUAGUUGUAUUUUACGAGUUAUUCAUUGAAAUCGUAGACAAAUUGUUUGAAAAUGUUUUAAAUAUGACGUAUGGGUUAUUCAUAUUUGAUUCUUAUAUAUAUGUUUAUAUAUAUACAAGAUAACGACACACUAAAUAGAAUAAAGAGGGAAAAAACAAACCCUACAUAACACGUAACUAUUAAAAAACAUAGAAAAAUAGAUAACAUAAAUAGAAAAAUCAACCUAGAAAUAACUUAACCAGUUCUAGUUGUAUUUUACGAGUUAUUCAUUGAAAUCGUAGACAAAUUGUUUGAAAAUGUUUUAAAUAUGACGUAUGGGUUAUUCAUAUUUGAUUCUUAUAUAUAUGUUUAUAUAUAUACAAGAUAACGACACACUAAAUAGAAUAAAGAGGGAAAAAACAAACCCUACAUAACACGUAACUAUUAAAAAACAUAGAAAAAUAGAUAACAUAAAUAGAAAAAUCAACCUAGAAAUAACUUAACCAGUUCUAGUUGUAUUUUACGAGUUAUUCAUUGAAAUCGUAGACAAAUUGUUUGAAAAUGUUUUAAAUAUGACGUAUGGGUUAUUCAUAUUUGAUUCUUAUAUAUAUGUUUAUAUAUAUACAAGAUAACGACACACUAAAUAGAAUAAAGAGGGAAAAAACAAACCCUACAUAACACGUAACUAUUAAAAAACAUAGAAAAAUAGAUAACAUAAAUAGAAAAAUCAACCUAGAAAUAACUUAACCAGUUCUAGUUGUAUUUUACGAGUUAUUCAUUGAAAUCGUAGACAAAUUGUUUAAAAAUGUUUUAAAUAUGACGUAUGGGUUAUUCAUAUUUGAUUCUUAUAUAUAUGUUUAUAUAUAUACAAGAUAACGACACACUAAAUAGAAUAAAGAGGGAAAAAACAAACCCUACGUAACACAUAACUAUUAAAAAACACAGAAAAAUAGAUAACAUAAAUAGAAAAAUCAACCUAGAAAUAACUUAACCAGUUCUUGUUGUAUUUUACGAGUUAUUCAUUGAAAUCAUAGACAACUUGUUUAAAAAUAUUUUAAUUAUGACGUAUGGGUUAUUCAUAUUUAAUUCUUAUAUAUAUGUUUAUAUAUAUACAAGAUAACGACACACUAAAUAGAAUAAAGAGGGAAAAAACAGACCCUACAUAACACAUAACUAUUAAAAAACACAGAAAAAGAGAUACCAUAAAUAGAAAAAUCAUCCUAAAAAUAACUUAACUAGUUCUAGUUGUAUUAUACUAGUUAUUCAUUGAAAUCGUAGACAAAUUGUUUGAAAAUGUUUUAAAUAUGACGUAUGGGUUAUUCAUAUUUGAUUCUUAUAUAUAUGUUUAUAUAUAUACAAGAUAACGACACACAAAAUAGAAUAAAGAGGGAAAAAAUCAACCCUACAUAACACGUAACUAUUAAAAAACAUAGAAAAAUAGAUAACAUAAAUAGAAAAAUCAACCUAGAAAUAACUUAAGCAGUUCUAGUUGUAUUUUACGAGUUAUUCAUUGAAAUCGUAGACAAAUUGUUUAAAAAUGUUUUAAAUAUGACGUAUGGGUUAUUCAUAUUUGAUUCUUAUAU